GAUCAUGGCUCAGGAUGAACGCUGGCGGCGUGCUUAACACAUGCAAGUCGAACGAAGCGCUUAAGAUUGAUUCUUCGGAUGAAGUUUUUUGUGACUGAGUGGCGGACGGGUGAGUAACGCGUGGGUAACCUGCCUCAUACAGGGGGAUAACAGUUAGAAAUGACUGCUAAUACCGCAUAAGCGCACAGGGUCGCAUGACCUGGUGCGAAAAACUCCGGUGGUAUGAGACGGACCCGCGU
RNAcentral lists this ribosomal RNA (239 nucleotides) under uncultured bacterium. RNAcentral's name for it is "partial 16S ribosomal RNA". It matches the Rfam family "Bacterial small subunit ribosomal RNA", at positions 15 to 236 of the family's 1533-position model. The record is from RNAcentral.